This 442-nucleotide ribosomal RNA is filed under the name uncultured Caulobacteraceae bacterium. Its description in RNAcentral is "bacterial SSU rRNA". It matches the Rfam family "Bacterial small subunit ribosomal RNA", at positions 337 to 796 of the family's 1533-position model. The record is from RNAcentral. Lineage: Bacteria; Pseudomonadati; Pseudomonadota; Alphaproteobacteria; Caulobacterales; Caulobacteraceae.
GCCUACGGGCGGCUGCAGUAGGGAAUCUUGCGCAAUGGGCGAAAGCCUGACGCAGCCAUGCCGCGUGAAUGAUGAAGGUCUUAGGAUUGUAAAAUUCUUUCACCGGGGACGAUAAUGACGGUACCCGGAGAAGAAGCUCCGGCUAACUUCGUGCCAGCAGCCGCGGUAAUACGAAGGGGGCUAGCGUUGCUCGGAAUUACUGGGCGUAAAGGGCGCGUAGGCGGACAGUUUAGUCAGAGGUGAAAGCCCAGGGCUCAACCUUGGAAUAGCCUUUGAUACUGGCUGUCUUGAGUGCGGGAGAGGUGUGUGGAACUCCGAGUGUAGAGGUGAAAUUCGUGGAUAUUCGGAAGAACACCAGUGGCGAAGGCGACACACUGGCCCGUUACUGACGCUGAGGCGCGAAAGCGUGGGGAGCAAACAGGAUUAGAUACCCCGGUAGUCG